RNAcentral lists this transfer RNA (77 nucleotides) under Dehalococcoidia bacterium. RNAcentral's name for it is "tRNA-Val". It matches the Rfam family "tRNA". Rfam says of the family: Transfer RNA (tRNA) molecules are approximately 80 nucleotides in length. Their secondary structure includes four short double-helical elements and three loops (D, anti-codon, and T loops). Further hydrogen bonds mediate the characteristic L-shaped molecular structure. tRNAs have two regions of fundamental functional importance: the anti-codon, which is responsible for specific mRNA codon recognition, and the 3' end, to which the tRNAs corresponding amino acid is attached (by aminoacyl-tRNA synthetases). tRNAs cope with the degeneracy of the genetic code in two manners: having more than one tRNA (with a specific anti-codon) for a particular amino acid; and 'wobble' base-pairing, i.e. permitting non-standard base-pairing at the 3rd anti-codon position. The record is from RNAcentral. Lineage: Bacteria; Bacillati; Chloroflexota; Dehalococcoidia.
GGGCGGUUAGCUCAGCUGGUUAGAGCGCAGCGUUGACAUCGCUGAGGUCAUAGGUUCGACUCCUAUACCGCCCACCA